AAGAAAGGUAAUUUAAAAUAAAAUAUCUUUAUUGCAUAAAGAAAAUAAUAAUUUUCCUUUUUUGC
Molecule: transfer RNA, 65 nt
Filed under: Liposcelis nr. bostrychophila AZ
Lineage: Eukaryota; Metazoa; Arthropoda; Insecta; Psocodea; Liposcelididae
Description: tRNA-Ala
Source: RNAcentral